AAAUUGAAGAGUUUGAUCAUGGCUCAGAUUGAACGCUGGCGGCAGGCCUAACACAUGCAAGUCGAACGGUAACAGGAAGAAGCUUGCUUCUUUGCUGACGAGUGGCGGACGGGUGAGUAAUGUCUGGGAAACUGCCUGAUGGAGGGGGAUAACUACUGGAAACGGUAGCUAAUACCGCAUAACGUCGCAAGACCAAAGAGGGGGACCUCGGGCCUCUUGCCAUCGGAUGUGCCCAGAUGGGAUUAGCUAGUAGGUGGGGUAACGGCUCACCUAGGCGACGAUCCCUAGCUGGUCUGAGAGGAUGACCAGCCACACUGGAACUGAGACACGGUCCAGACUCCUACGGGAGGCAGCAGUGGGGAAUAUUGCACAAUGGGCGCAAGCCUGAUGCAGCCAUGCCGCGUGUAUGAAGAAGGCCUUCGGGUUGUAAAGUACUUUCAGCGGGGAGGAAGGGAGUAAAGUUAAUACCUUUGCUCAUUGACGUUACCCGCAGAAGAAGCACCGGCUAACUCCGUGCCAGCAGCCGCGGUAAUACGGAGGGUGCAAGCGUUAAUCGGAAUUACUGGGCGUAAAGCGCACGCAGGCGGUUUGUUAAGUCAGAUGUGAAAUCCCCGGGCUCAACCUGGGAACUGCAUCUGAUACUGGCAAGCUUGAGUCUCGUAGAGGGGGGUAGAAUUCCAGGUGUAGCGGUGAAAUGCGUAGAGAUCUGGAGGAAUACCGGUGGCGAAGGCGGCCCCCUGGACGAAGACUGACGCUCAGGUGCGAAAGCGUGGGGAGCAAACAGGAUUAGAUACCCUGGUAGUCCACGCCGUAAACGAUGUCGACUUGGAGGUUGUGCCCUUGAGGCGUGGCUUCCGGAGCUAACGCGUUAAGUCGACCGCCUGGGGAGUACGGCCGCAAGGUUAAAACUCAAAUGAAUUGACGGGGGCCCGCACAAGCGGUGGAGCAUGUGGUUUAAUUCGAUGCAACGCGAAGAACCUUACCUGGUCUUGACAUCCACGGAAGUUUUCAGAGAUGAGAAUGUGCCUUCGGGAACCGUGAGACAGGUGCUGCAUGGCUGUCGUCAGCUCGUGUUGUGAAAUGUUGGGUUAAGUCCCGCAACGAGCGCAACCCUUAUCCUUUGUUGCCAGCGGUCCGGCCGGGAACUCAAAGGAGACUGCCAGUGAUAAACUGGAGGAAGGUGGGGAUGACGUCAAGUCAUCAUGGCCCUUACGACCAGGGCUACACACGUGCUACAAUGGCGCAUACAAAGAGAAGCGACCUCGCGAGAGCAAGCGGACCUCAUAAAGUGCGUCGUAGUCCGGAUUGGAGUCUGCAACUCGACUCCAUGAAGUCGGAAUCGCUAGUAAUCGUGGAUCAGAAUGCCACGGUGAAUACGUUCCCGGGCCUUGUACACACCGCCCGUCACACCAUGGGAGUGGGUUGCAAAAGAAGUAGGUAGCUUAACCUUCGGGAGGGCGCUUACCACUUUGUGAUUCAUGACUGGGGUGAAGUCGUAACAAGGUAACCGUAGGGGAACCUGCGGUUGGAUCACCUCCUUA
RNAcentral lists this ribosomal RNA (1541 nucleotides) under Escherichia coli. RNAcentral's name for it is "bacterial SSU rRNA". It matches the Rfam family "Bacterial small subunit ribosomal RNA". The record is from RNAcentral. Lineage: Bacteria; Pseudomonadati; Pseudomonadota; Gammaproteobacteria; Enterobacterales; Enterobacteriaceae.